Molecule: ribosomal RNA, 497 nt
Filed under: uncultured bacterium
Lineage: Bacteria
Description: partial 16S ribosomal RNA
Rfam family: Bacterial small subunit ribosomal RNA
Source: RNAcentral
GAUGAACGCUGGCGGCGUGCCUAAUACAUGCAAGUCGAGCGAACAGACGAGGAGCUUGCUCCUCUGACGUUAGCGGCGGACGGGUGAGUAACACGUCGAUAACCUACCUAUAAGACUGGGAUAACUUCGGGAAACCGGAGCUAAUACCGGAUAAUAUAUUGAACCGCAUGGUUCAAUAGUGAAAGACGGUUUUGCUGUCACUUAUAGAUGGAUCCGCGCCGCAUUAGCUAGUUGGUAAGGUAACGGCUUACCAAGGCAACGAUGCGUAGCCGACCUGAGAGGGUGAUCGGCCACACUGGAACUGAGACACGGUCCAGACUCCUACGGGAGGCAGCAGUAGGGAAUCUUCCGCAAUGGGCGAAAGCCUGACGGAGCAACGCCGCGUGAGUGAUGAAGGUCUUCGGAUCGUAAAACUCUGUUAUUAGGGAAGAACAAAUGUGUAAGUAACUAUGCACGUCUUGACGGUACCUAAUCAGAAAGCCACGGCUAACUACGUG